UACGUAGGUGGCAAGCGUUGUCCGGAUUUACUGGGCGUAAAGGAUGCGUAGGCGGACAUUUAAGUCAGAUGUGAAAUACCCGAGCUUAACUUGGGUGCUGCAUUUGAAACUGGGUGUCUAGAGUGCAGGAGAGGUAAGUGGAAUUCCUAGUGUAGCGGUGAAAAUGCGUAGAGAUUAGGAAGAACACAGUGGCGAAGGCGACUUACUGGACUGUAACUGACGCUGAGGCGCGAAAGCGUGGGGAGCAAACAGG
Molecule: ribosomal RNA, 253 nt
Filed under: uncultured bacterium
Lineage: Bacteria
Description: partial 16S ribosomal RNA
Rfam family: Bacterial small subunit ribosomal RNA
Source: RNAcentral